UUGAUUAGUGGCGAACGGGUGAGUAACACGUGAGUAACCUGCCCUUGACUUCGGGAUAACUCCGGGAAACCGGGGCUAAUACCGGAUAUGAGCCGUCCUCGCAUGGGGGUGGUUGGAAAGUUUUUCGGUCAGGGAUGGGCUCGCGGCCUAUCAGCUUGUUGGUGGGGUGAUGGCCUACCAAGGCGACGACGGGUAGCCGGCCUGAGAGGGCGACCGGCCACACUGGGACUGAGACACGGCCCAGACUCCUACGGGAGGCAGCAGUGGGGAAUAUUGCACAAUGGGCGAAAGCCUGAUGCAGCGACGCCGCGUGAGGGAUGACGGCCUUCGGGUUGUAAACCUCUUUCAGCAGGGAAGAAGCGCAAGUGACGGUACCUGCAGAAGAAGCGCCGGCUAACUACGUGCCAGCAGCCGCGGUAAUACGUAGGGCGCAAGCGUUGUCCGGAAUUAUUGGGCGUAAAGAGCUCGUAGGCGGUUUGUCGCGUCUGGUGUGAAAACUCGAGGCUCAACCUCGAGCUUGCAUCGGGUACGGGCAGACUAGAGUGCGGUAGGGGAGACUGGAAUUCCUGGUGUAGCGGUGGAAUGCGCAGAUAUCAGGAGGAAC
This 604-nucleotide ribosomal RNA is filed under the name Cellulosimicrobium cellulans. RNAcentral's name for it is "bacterial SSU rRNA". It matches the Rfam family "Bacterial small subunit ribosomal RNA", at positions 88 to 707 of the family's 1533-position model. Lineage: Bacteria; Bacillati; Actinomycetota; Actinomycetes; Micrococcales; Promicromonosporaceae. The record is from RNAcentral.